UACGGAGGGGACUAGCGUUGUUCGGAAUUACUGGGCGUAAAGCGCACGUAGGCGGAUUUGUAAGUCAGGGGUGAAAGUCCCGGGGCUCAACCUCGGAACUGCCUUUGAUACUGCAAAUCUCGAGUCCGGAAGAGGUGAGUGGAAUUCCGUAGUGUAGAGGUGAAAUUCGUAGAUAUUAGGAAGAACACCAGUGGCGAAGGCGGCUCACUGGCCGGUACUGACGCUGAGGUGGCGAAAAGCG
Molecule: ribosomal RNA, 241 nt
Filed under: uncultured bacterium
Lineage: Bacteria
Description: partial 16S ribosomal RNA
Rfam family: Bacterial small subunit ribosomal RNA
Source: RNAcentral